RNAcentral lists this unclassified non-coding RNA (310 nucleotides) under Hevea brasiliensis (rubber tree). The record is from RNAcentral. Lineage: Eukaryota; Viridiplantae; Streptophyta; Magnoliopsida; Malpighiales; Euphorbiaceae.
AGUACUGUCAGCCAAAUUGCUCAGCAGGUUGAAAGCCAAGACGUUGGGGACAUUUUCUCAGGUUUAGGAAGUGGCCAAGGCAGUGGCCUUGAUCUUUCAAGGAUGGUCCAACAAAUGAUGCCAGUAGUUUCCCAGGUCCUUGGACGUGGGUCAGCUGCUCAGCCAUUCUCUCAUGUUGAGCCUGAACCCCAGCUGCAGUAUAAUGGGAGGAGAUCAAGUGUAAAUGAAAAACCUAUUGACCAAAAUGUUCAGGUUGACCUCCAGGAAGUGGCUCAGAGAAUUGAACAUUUGGAUGCCCCUGGUGAUAUUU